UUUGUCAAUAAUUUUUAAGAGUGCUGGUACGUAUUCCGAACAAAGCUAGCAGAUCUUAUCGCUAUGCAAACAAGAAAGAAUGAAAAUGACUCAGUAAAAAUAUCAUAGAAAGAAACUAAGUUAGUAUAAACGUGGGAAAGGAGUUUCGAACGGAGCGCGAUGAUCUUGGCCAGUUUCUGCGUCUGUGGUACAGUGUUAUCGGGUUGUUAUCGUCGUGCAACACGUGUCAAUAUAGGCACGCGUUGGCUGCAACUGUUGAGUGCAUUCACCGACCAUGCGCACAUCAGCUGAACGAAACUCUUCAUAAACCGGCGGGAACACGUUGCACAUGACUCAGUGUACACGAUGCCACGAGUUGGCCGCGAUAGAUUACGCACCACGUAUAUACGCCCUUCCCUUUUUUCAGUUUUCUGCGGUGCUACUACGACCAUUUUUGUCAUCGCGUUUUCUUGACACAUAGAUCUCACGCAUGUGACCUUUCCUGUUUGUUUGCGGUACGAUAUCCGGCUCAGUGUUCAGACAAAGAAGCGCGACCGAUGCCUCAAUUCAACAACAUUCUCCCCCACCGAGGCAAACGACCGUUUUUGAUAAAAAGACUGAAGGAACGAAUAAAAGAAACGGCGUAAAAUAUUUUCCAGGAAGGAAUGACCAUCUGUUUUGUCAUAGAAGAUUCACAAAAGAUUAAGGAGGAUCGUCUAUCAGGCAAGCAUGCGUCUAUACAGCUAAAGAUCCAUAUACACCGAAUUUAUCUCAGGAACAAGCGGCAACAUGGAUAAUAUACCUUACGCGCGGGACGCGCAUGUGACGAACGUUAUCGGUGCUAAUAAGAAGCGUACCUAACCUAAUACACAGAUCGCAAUUAUUUCAUCGAUGCGCAACGUAUACUCAAAAUUUGUCGAUUCCUCCAACGAACUCGCUGUGUUUUUAAUAAAAACAGAGACAGAUGAUAGCUA
Molecule: long non-coding RNA, 953 nt
Organism: Bombus impatiens (common eastern bumble bee)
Lineage: Eukaryota; Metazoa; Arthropoda; Insecta; Hymenoptera; Apidae
Exons: 2
Source: RefSeq, a predicted model, not a curated record